GUCUAUGGCCACAUCAUCCUGAACACAUCCAAUCUCAGAAGCUAAACAUGAAAGAAAAAAAAGAAGCAGCUAAGCAGGACUGGGCCUGGUUAGUACUUGAAUGGGAGACCACCAGAAAAUAUUGGGUGCUAUCUAUA
This is a ribosomal RNA of Otolemur garnettii (small-eared galago), 137 nucleotides long. NCBI's taxonomy places the organism in Eukaryota, Metazoa, Chordata, Mammalia, Primates, Galagidae. The record is from Ensembl.